Molecule: long non-coding RNA, 556 nt
Filed under: Dasypus novemcinctus (nine-banded armadillo)
Lineage: Eukaryota; Metazoa; Chordata; Mammalia; Cingulata; Dasypodidae
Description: lncRNA (ENSDNOG00000050453.1)
Source: RNAcentral
CAGACUAACUCCAGGAGUAGGGAGAUGUAGAGGGGCCCAAGGAAUGUAGGUUCAAUUUUCUGCCCCCCCCCCCUUUUAUUGAGUUUGGAGGAGCAUAUCAGCUGAAUUGGGGAGAGCCUAGGAAGAGAGGACAGGCGAAUCUGGUGAGAGAGCCCACUUUACCUAAAUGCUCUGGGAUAGGAAACUUGGUCUGGGAGAUGGUGGAGUCAGAAAAUUAACUAGCCCCCUUGUAGCACACCUAAGGGAAAGGGACAGUAGGACAUGCUUUACAGGCUUCCAAUAGGAUAUUUAGGGUUUCUGGCAAGGGGUGGGUGCUCUCUCAAGAAAUUAAGAGUCAUUAUUUUCUCAGGAGAGUUGGUUCACCGGGGACCCAUUUGAAUUUCCUACAGGAGCUCUCAUGUAACCUUCCUGCUGCCUUGGGAAAGAGGGAAGUGAGAAAACGAGAAAGGGGGAAGAAAUGUUUAAUAGGUACAAGACUGAAGACUGGUGGCAGACUUGUCCCAGUGGUUAGGGCAUCCUUCUACCACAUGGGAGGUCCGCGGUUCAAACCCCGGGC